Molecule: transfer-messenger RNA, 60 nt
Filed under: candidate division WWE3 bacterium
Lineage: Bacteria; candidate division WWE3
Description: partial transfer-messenger RNA
Rfam family: transfer-messenger RNA
About the family: Bacterial tmRNA, also known as 10Sa RNA or SsrA, is named for its dual tRNA and mRNA-like properties. Its role is to liberate the mRNA from a stalled ribosome.
Source: RNAcentral
CUCGUAGAAGUCUUAUUAAGAUGUUUUAGGACCGGAGUUCGAUUCUCCGCACCUCCACCA